Molecule: ribosomal RNA, 685 nt
Filed under: uncultured marine group I thaumarchaeote
Lineage: Archaea; Thermoproteati; Nitrososphaerota
Description: bacterial SSU rRNA
Rfam family: Archaeal small subunit ribosomal RNA
Source: RNAcentral
CCCUAUGGGGUGCAGCAGGCGAGAAAACUUUGCAAUGUGCGAAAGCACGACAAGGUUAAUCCGAGUGGUUCCUGCUAAAGGAAUCUUUUGUCAGUCCUAAAAACACUGAUGAAUAAGGGGUGGGCAAGUUCUGGUGUCAGCCGCCGCGGUAAAACCAGCACCUCAAGUGGUCAGGAGGAUUAUUGGGCCUAAAGCAUCCGUAGCCGGCUGUGUAAGUUUUCGGUUAAAUCCAUACACUCAAUGUAUGGGCUGCCGGGAAUACUGUACAGCUAGGGAGUGGGAGAGGUAGACGGUACUCGGUAGGAAGUGGUAAAAUGCUUUGAUCUAUUGAUGACCACCUGUGGCGAAGGCGGUCUACCAGAACACGUUCGACGGUGAGGGAUGAGAGCUGGGGGAGCAAACCGGAUUAGAUACCCGGGUAGUCCCAGCUGUAAACUAUGCAAACUCAGUGAUGCACUGGCUUGUGGCCAGUGCAGUGCUGCAGGGAAGCCGUUAAGUUUGCCGCCUGGGAAGUACGUACGCAAGUAUGAAACUUAAAGGAAUUGGCGGGGGGAGCACCACAAGGGGUGAAGCCUGCGGUUCAAUUGGGGUCAACGCCAGAAAUCUUACCCGGAGAGACAGCAGAAUGAAUGUCAAGCUGAGACUUUACCAGACAGCUGAGAGGUAGUGCAUGGCCACGGCGAUU